Molecule: ribosomal RNA, 440 nt
Filed under: uncultured bacterium
Lineage: Bacteria
Description: partial 16S ribosomal RNA
Rfam family: Bacterial small subunit ribosomal RNA
Source: RNAcentral
ACUACGGGGGGCAGCAGUAGGGAAUAUUGCUCAAUGGGGGAAACCCUGAAGCAGCAACGCCGCGUGGAGGAUGAAGGUUUUCGGAUUGUAAACUCCUUUUGUUAGAGAAGAGAAUGACGGUAUCUAACGAAUAAGCACCGGCGAACGCCGUGCCAGCAGCCGCGGUAAUACGGAGGGUGCAAGCGUUACUCGGAAUCACUGGGCGUAAAGAGCGCGUAGGCGGGAUAGCAAGUCAGAUGUGAAAUCCUAUGGCUUAACCAUAGAACUGCAUUUGAAACUGUUAUUCUAGAGUAUGGGAGAGGUAGUUGGCAUUCUUGUUGUAGGGGUCAAAUCCGUAGAGAUCAAGAGGAAUACUCAUUGCGAAGGCGACCUGCUGGAACAUACCUGACGCUGAUGCGCGCACGCGUGGGGAGCAAACAGGAUUAGAUACCCUUGUAGUC